CGCCAAGAGGAUCAAUCCUUGAGGUAGCCAGCCACAAAAACGACACCAUCCUCCGGACUGCUGGAAAGCUCCUCUUCGUUAACAACCUCAUCAGCAUCUUCUGCACAUCUUCUUUACUUUGCCUAUUGUGCGAAUAUUUCUACUUGCCAUUUAAGUAAUGGCCGAUGACGAGAUUCAGAGGCUGUCCCAGAUUUUAGAGGAUGGGAAGCGACGUCGACGGGACGCGCAGCAGGCUCAACAGCAGUCGGAGCAAGCUCCAUGGGCAUUGGAAGAACAGAUACGUCGUCCCUUAAUUACUUUUUGAAUAUCUUGAUGCCUGCCAAACUUAUCCCUCAGCCUGAGUGUGUGGUUGCUAGGGAGGAAAGUUUGCUACAUCAGAUGUGUACUCAAUUCCAGUCUCUGAAUUGAGUCUAUGGUAGAUAUUGAGCGAUCAAACCCUCAAUUCAAGUGAAGGUCUACUUGCAAUGCGUCUUUGAAAACCCCAUCUGCACCAUCACAAAAUGUACCCUGCAGGAUUAUUUUUGAAGUUUCCACUAGGAUUGUUGAUGCGACUAUGUUCGUGAGAAUUUUUUUGGUCUACCUUGGGCAAAGAUUCAUCUCUUCGUGGUACAAUAGCGUUGAUAGUAUGGUCAGCACUCACCUCGCUAAAGAUAUUUAAAUUUGAUAACUCGAGUUGGGUUUAGUUAAUACUUUGAGAAUCUGUUUAGUAAUGAGAAUGUAAGUGGUGAUUCUUGAAUCUAGGUAUGAGCUUAUUUUAAAUUAGUUAGAGCUGAAUCUAACGCAGUUGAAAGAUAAUAGUUGAUUUGAAACCAUACCGCAUUGUUCUUUUCGUCUACUGCAGCAUCAAAGUAGCCAGUCAGCAUAUAUCACUGAUAUUGUAGACGGACCAAUUCACAGCAAAGUAGUAUAGGAUCUUUAAUAUGGAUGCGCGAAUAUAUUCGUUAUAUGAUUUUUAGUUAAUCAUACUGCUGGGGCAGCUGUCUUACGAGAAGGCGAAGACAGAAUAAAGAAUAAAUAGUAGAAGAUAGAAUUAAAUACUAGUAUGAAUAGUUAAGUACAGUACAAGCACUUGUCAUAGGAACAUAGUAAAAUAGUAGCUAAUCGCUAAAGAAAGAAAUAGAAAAAAAAAGAAAAAAAAGAAAUAAGAUGAAUAUAUACUUAAAAUAUAUACAGGGCUAUGAUUGUGGUCAAAGAAAUAGU
Molecule: small RNA, 1200 nt
Filed under: Histoplasma capsulatum
Lineage: Eukaryota; Fungi; Ascomycota; Eurotiomycetes; Onygenales; Ajellomycetaceae
Also listed under: 1 other name
Description: hypothetical RNA
Source: RNAcentral